UACGUAGGGACCAAGCGUUGUUCGGAUUUACUGGGCGUAAAGGGCGCGUAGGCGGCGUGGUAAGUCACUUGUGAAAUCUCCGAGCUUAACUCGGAACGGUCAAGUGAUACUGCUGUGCUAGAGUACAGAAGGGGCAAUCGGAAUUCUUGGUGUAGCGGUGGAAUGCGCAGAUAUCAGGAGGAACACCGGUGGCGAAGGCGGGUCUCUGGGCAGUAACUGACGCUGAGGAGCGAAAGCGUGGGGAGCGAACAGG
Molecule: ribosomal RNA, 253 nt
Filed under: uncultured bacterium
Lineage: Bacteria
Description: partial 16S ribosomal RNA
Rfam family: Bacterial small subunit ribosomal RNA
Source: RNAcentral